AUAUCUACAUAUGUAGAUUAGAAACUUUCGGUCGGGUUCAGUUUAAUUUUGAUCGGGUUAGUUAAUACAUUGUUGAGUCUUUUGAUCAGCAUGGACAUGGUUUGAUGUGUGUUCGGUACCACAUAACAUGCGAGAAUACCUUCUCCGGUAUGUUGGAGAGAAGAUUAGCAAGAAAAAAUCGCGUGAGAAAAUGAGAAGUUGACAGAAAAAGAUUUUUUUCAUUAUCGAAAGGGACAUGUACAACAUCCAUAAUGGUGUGUCUGAUGGAAUUUGUCAUUUCAUUAAUAAAUAAUGCUGAUAAAGAUGCAAACUUAGCAAUUGUGCCUAAAAAGUGACAGCUUUGACAAAGAAAUAUAUCCAUAUAUAACAGUUACUGGUACUGUAUGAAUGCAGUGAAAGGAUCCAGAUGAACAAAUGAAGAGAUUAAGUACAAUGUACAUCAAUUACUUGGAUGAAGAGAAUCUGCAACAUGGGGAAAUAAUGUUCCUAUAGAAAAGUCAAAGAAUGUAUACAUGUGAGAUUCUGAAGUAGCCGUACAUGAUGAGUAGGAAUUUGAAGUGAAUUAUGGGAAAAGUGAAAUGGUAAAAAAGAAACUGCUAGCGCUACUGUGCAGACUACCAUCAAUCAACAUGAUCAACAUAAUCAAGUAAUCCUUCUGAAGAUGGAGUAGUACACAAGCACAAUUUUUUAAAGAAAGAAAAGUCAAUGGAAUGAAGAAAAGGUGAAGUGAAUUGUCACUCAUUAUAUUUUAAAUUUAAUGUGGACAUGGUCAUUAUUUUAGUUAUGUCAUAACCUUCUUAUCAAUUUUAAGCAGUGCAGAUAGAUGCAUUUCUUAUUGCUUUGAAUAGAAUAAAUUAUGAAAAAAGUUUGUAUAUGUUUUUUGAUAUAGAAUUUAUAUUAAAAAAAAAAUUAUCAAUUACUGCAGUUUUGAAUUUCAGUACACUAGAAAUUUUUCUGCCCUGCCAUGAAUAUGGCUGGGGCAUAUAGAGUUUGUCAUGUCCGUCUUCUGUCCUUUCAACCUUCUGUCUGUCCUUCCAUUCCGCUUUGCUUUUAGCUCAGUUCAAAACUAAGUUUCAAAGAAACUAUUCAAGAUAUUUUUAUCAAUCUUCAUAUGCUGAUACAUAUUGAAAAGAGGUAUUCAAUUUCAUCAACGUACCUUGACCUUUCCUUUAACUUUGACCUCACUUUUCUUAAAUUAGUGUUUAGCUCAGUUUUAAAGAAACCAUUCAAGAUAGUGUAAUCAAACUUCAUAUGCUGAUACAUACUGAAUCAACAUUUUUUUACCUUGACCUUUCCUUUGACCUUGACCGUACUUAUCUUAAAUAAGUGUUUAGCUCAGUUUUAAAGAAACCAUUCAGGAUAGCGUAAUCAAACUUCAUUUGCUGAUACAUACUGAUGAGAGCUAUUCAACUGCAUCAACAUUUUUUGAUCUUGAUUUUUCCUUUGACCUUCACCUCACUUUUUCUAAAUUAGUGUCAAACUUCAUAUUCUGAUACAGACUGAUGUAAGGUAUUUGACUGUAUCAACAUUUUUGACCUUGACAUUUCAUUUGACCUUGACUUCAUUUUUCUUGAAAUGGUGAUUAGCUCAGUGUUAAUUAAACGGUUUCCAUUCAAAAUAUUUUUAUCAAACUUAUUUUGCUUAUGCGUAUUAGUGAGAACUAUUCAACUGCAUUAAAAAUGUAUGACCUUGAACUUUCCUGUGACCUGGACCUCACUUUUCUUAAAUUUGCAUUUUGCUUAGUUUUAAAGAAACCAUUAAAUAUAAUUUUAUGUGAGCUUAUGCACUUAACAGAAUUUGGUGGGAAUUUAUCAUCUAUAUCCAACUUUUUCGAUUUCAAUGUUAAAGAAACUAUUUUAAGAUAUUCUCAUCAAAUUUCAUACACUAAAAAUAUUUUUAUGUUGCAUUACUAAUAUGCCCACAUGGUGCAGUGGUUAAAGCUCUAGAGUUGCGGAGUAAGGAGUUGAUCCUUAUGUCGCUGGUUCGAAUCCCACUGUGGGACGUGGAGACUGUAUAAACCGAGGUCCCAUGUCACAGUAGGUGCUGGCAUAAAAAGAUCCCUCACUGCUUAAUGGCCCUUAGUGCCGAGUAUAGGUCAAAAUUUGCAGCUCUCCACCGGCAAGUGGUGGCAUCUCCAUAUGAGUGAAAAAUUCUCGAGAGGGAUGUUAAACAAUAAACAAGCAAAUAAAAAUUAAUAUACCCUCAGCGGGGCAUUCAUGUCCUAUGGACAUAUUUCUAGUUUUGCCCUUUUUUUACAUUUGUACAUGGAUAUACUUUUUAUUUUUGCUCUGUAAACAACAACAACAAAAACAUUAUACCAUAUAAUAUGCACAAAAUUAUAUGCUAGGAAUGUAUUGUGAAAGAUGCAUUUCAGCUGACAAAUGUAGCAUCUUUAAGCCAGCUUUUUAAAAAUUUUUCUGAAUGACUUUCAGGUACUUCUUUUAUAUUUGCAACUCAUUUAUAGGGAUGUAUUAGUAUGGUAGCCUGUCUGCCAACACCUUGUAGAUGAGAUUCUAGCACAUAUUGUGUGAAAUGGUUCUCUUAAUUGACAUGAGAAGGUCACUAUUUUUUAUCAAGAUAAAAAUUACUUGUAUGUCUUGUAAUAACAUUAUUUAAUAUAUCCCUUUCAUAGCACACAUGUUCGUUUCAAAGAGAAGAAAACAUUUAUAAUUUUUCAAGGUCAAUAAUCUCAUGGAUGAAAUGCAAACUGUACUAUUUGAAAUAGGUGGUGUAGGUAUUUCAGAGUCUGUAUUACAGCUUGCCAGUUUAUUGUUGGAGGAAUAUUCUCAUCAAAUAAACUAUGUAAAGAUUUGCUUUUUAAUGCAAAGUAUUUUUAUAAGUAAUAACUUCAUUUCAACUUACAAUGAACAGUUAAUCAGUGCAUCUCACUUUGUAUCUAAUGCAUUUUUAGAACACAAAUUUGUGGUUUAAAACAUGUUGUAAUAGUUUAAUAAAUAAAUGCUAUUCAUUUUUUUUAAUUGACAAGAA
Saccostrea echinata is the source of this 2988-nucleotide long non-coding RNA. RefSeq lists it as uncharacterized. The transcript is spliced from 6 exons. Lineage: Eukaryota; Metazoa; Mollusca; Bivalvia; Ostreida; Ostreidae. The record is from RefSeq and is a predicted model, not a curated record.